AGAGUUUGAUCCUGGCUCAGAUUGAACGCUGGCGGCAGGCCUAACACAUGCAAGUCGAGCGUGAAAGUCCUUCGGGAUGAGUAAAGCGGCGGACGGGUGAGUAACGCGUAGGAAUCUGCCUGGUAGUGGGGGACAACGUUUCGAAAGGAACGCUAAUACCGCAUACGUCCUACGGGAGAAAGCAGGGGACCUUCGGGCCUUGCGCUAUCAGAUGAGUCUAGGUCGGAUUAGCUAGUAGGUGAGGUAAUGGCUCACCUAGGCGACGAUCCGUAACUGGUCUGAGAGGAUGAUCAGUCACACUGGAACUGAGACACGGUCCAGACUCCUACGGGAGGCAGCAGUGGGGAAUAUUGGACAAUGGGCGAAAGCCUGAUCCAGCCAUGCCGCGUGAAUGAAGAAGGCCUUAGGGUUGUAAAGUUCUUUUGUCAGGGAGCAAAGUUUUCUUGUUAAUAGCGAGAAGAGCUGAGAGUACCUGAAGAAUAAGCACCGGCUAACUACGUG
RNAcentral lists this ribosomal RNA (501 nucleotides) under uncultured bacterium. RNAcentral describes it as "bacterial SSU rRNA". It matches the Rfam family "Bacterial small subunit ribosomal RNA", at positions 8 to 507 of the family's 1533-position model. The record is from RNAcentral.